UGGAGGCGCUGGCCGAGGCGUUGCGGCGCACCGGGUCGAGCCGGGUCGCGGCGGUGCUGCUGGGUGCCGCCGGUGCGGUGCGGGCCGCGAUCGG
This 94-nucleotide transfer RNA is filed under the name Virgisporangium ochraceum. RNAcentral describes it as "tRNA-Ser". Lineage: Bacteria; Bacillati; Actinomycetota; Actinomycetes; Micromonosporales; Micromonosporaceae. The record is from RNAcentral.